GUAGCCUAGUGGUUAGAGGAGGAGGCAGGCAGCCUAGUGGUUAGAGGAGGAGGCAGGUAGCCUAGUGGUUAGAGGAGGCAGGUAGCCUAGUGGUUAGAGGAGGCAGGUAGCCUAGUGGUUAGAGGAGGCAGGUAGCCUAGUGGUUAGAGGAGGCAGGUAGCCUAGUGGUUAGAGGAGGCAGGUAGCCUAGUGGUUAGAGGAGGCAGGUAGCCUGGUGGUUAGAGGAGGCAGGUAGCCUAGUGGUUAGAGAGUUGGGCCAGUAACUGAAGGUGAAAAUCUGUCAUUCUGCCCCUGAUUCUUAACUGACUUGCCUAGUUAAAUGAAGGUUAAAUAAAGGUUAAAUUAAUAAAACAUGUAAAAGUCUGUGUGCAUGUUGAAGGUUAAAUAAAGGUUAAAUGAAGGUUACAUUAAUAAAACAUGUAAAAAUCUGACUGUUUUUGUGUUGAAGGUUAAAUGAAGGUUAAAUAAAGGUUAAAUGAAGGUUACAUUAAUAAAAGAUGUAAAAGUCUGACUGUGUGUGUGUCUUGUCUCUAGCUGUGGAGCGUUUAGGGUUGGGUUGGCUGGUGGUCGUUGACUCUUCAUCACUCUCACUGGUGCUCACGAUACGCUGGGCCUUUCUACCAGUACGCCUCAACAAUGACUUCCUGAAACACACACACACACACACACACACACACACACACACACACACACACACACACACACACACACACACACACACACACACACACACACACACACAC
This 743-nucleotide long non-coding RNA is filed under the name Salmo salar (Atlantic salmon). RNAcentral's name for it is "lncRNA (ENSSSAG00000103029.1)". Lineage: Eukaryota; Metazoa; Chordata; Actinopteri; Salmoniformes; Salmonidae. The record is from RNAcentral.